RNAcentral lists this ribosomal RNA (429 nucleotides) under Bacteroidota bacterium. Its description in RNAcentral is "Bacteroidetes bacterium partial 16S ribosomal RNA". It matches the Rfam family "Bacterial small subunit ribosomal RNA", at positions 355 to 776 of the family's 1533-position model. Lineage: Bacteria; Pseudomonadati; Bacteroidota. The record is from RNAcentral.
UAGGGAAUCUUCGGCAAUGGGGGGAACCCUGACCGAGCAACGCCGCGUGAGUGAAGAAGGUUUUCGGAUCGUAAAGCUCUGUUGUUAAGGAAGAACGAGUGUGAGAAUGGAAAGUUCAUACUGUGACGGUACUUAACCAGAAAGGGACGGCUAACUACGUGCCAGCAGCCGCGGUAAUACGUAGGUCCCGAGCGUUGUCCGGAUUUAUUGUGCGUAAAGCGAGCGCAGGCGGUUAGAUAAGUCUGAAGUUAAAGGCAGUGGCUCAACCAUUGUAGGCUUUGGAAACUGUUUAACUUGAGUGCAGAAGGGGAGAGUGGAAUUCCAUAUGUAGCGGUGAAAUGCGUAGAUAUAUGGAGGAACACCGGUGGCGAAAGCGGCUCUCUGGUCUGUAACUGACGCUGAGGCUCGAAAGCGUGGGGAGCGAACAGG